This 85-nucleotide transfer RNA is filed under the name Felis catus (domestic cat). It matches the Rfam family "tRNA". Rfam says of the family: Transfer RNA (tRNA) molecules are approximately 80 nucleotides in length. Their secondary structure includes four short double-helical elements and three loops (D, anti-codon, and T loops). Further hydrogen bonds mediate the characteristic L-shaped molecular structure. tRNAs have two regions of fundamental functional importance: the anti-codon, which is responsible for specific mRNA codon recognition, and the 3' end, to which the tRNAs corresponding amino acid is attached (by aminoacyl-tRNA synthetases). tRNAs cope with the degeneracy of the genetic code in two manners: having more than one tRNA (with a specific anti-codon) for a particular amino acid; and 'wobble' base-pairing, i.e. permitting non-standard base-pairing at the 3rd anti-codon position. The record is from Rfam by way of RNAcentral. Lineage: Eukaryota; Metazoa; Chordata; Mammalia; Carnivora; Felidae.
GCCUGGGUGGCUUAGUUGGUUAAGCAUCUGACUUCGGCUCAGGUCAUGAUCUGGUGGUCUGUGAGUUCGAGUUCCACAUCAGGCU